AUAUUGUUAAAAUGCAGAUUUUGAGCCAGCAGAUCUGGAAUAAGGCCUGAGAUUCUGCAUUUCUAACAAGAUC
Molecule: microRNA precursor, 73 nt
Filed under: Chlorocebus sabaeus (green monkey)
Lineage: Eukaryota; Metazoa; Chordata; Mammalia; Primates; Cercopithecidae
Description: miRNA (ENSCSAG00000024294.1)
Source: RNAcentral